Molecule: ribosomal RNA, 465 nt
Filed under: uncultured bacterium
Lineage: Bacteria
Description: bacterial SSU rRNA
Rfam family: Bacterial small subunit ribosomal RNA
Source: RNAcentral
CCUACGGGACGCACCAGUGGGGAAUAUUGCACAAUGGGCGCAAGCCUGAUGCAGCCAUGCCGCGUGUAUGAAGAAGGCCUUCGGGUUGUAAAGUACUUUCAGCGGGGAGGAAGGUGUUGAGGUUAAUAACCUCAGCAAAUGACGUUACCCGCAGAAGAAGCACCGGCUAACUCCGUGCCAGCAGCCGCGGUAAUACGGAGGGUGCAAGCGUUAAUCGGAAUUACUGGGCGUAAAGCGCACGCAGGCGGUCUGUCAAGUCGGAUGUGAAAUCCCCGGGCUCAACCUGGGAACUGCAUUCGAAACUGGCAGGCUAGAGUCUUGUAGAGGGGGGUAGAAUUCCAGGAGUAGCGGUGAAAUGCGUAGAGAUCUGGAGGAAUACCGGUGGCGAAGGCGGCCCCCUGGACAAAGACUGACGCUCAGGUGCGAAAGCGUGGGGAGCAAACAGGAUUAGAUACCCCCGUAGUC